RNAcentral lists this ribosomal RNA (440 nucleotides) under uncultured bacterium. RNAcentral's name for it is "partial 16S ribosomal RNA". It matches the Rfam family "Bacterial small subunit ribosomal RNA", at positions 338 to 795 of the family's 1533-position model. The record is from RNAcentral.
CCUACGGGUGGCAGCAGUGGGGGAUAUUGCACAAUGGGGGGAACCCUGAUGCAGCGACGCCGCGUGGGUGAAGAAGCGCCUCGGCGCGUAAAGCCCUGUCAGCAGGGAAGAAAAUGACGGUACCUGAAGAAGAAGCCCCGGCUAACUACUUGCCAGCAUCCGCGGUAAUACGUAGGGGGCAAACGUUAGCCGGAUUUACUGGGUGUAAAGGGGGCGCAGACGGCGAUGCAAGCCAGGAGUGAAAGCCCGGGGGUCAACCCCGGGAGUGCUCUUGGAACUGCGUGGCUGGAGUGCAGGAGGGGCAGGCGGAAGUCCUGGUGUAGCGGUGAAAUGCGUAGAUAUCAGGAGGAACACCGAUGGCGAAGGCGGCCUGCUGGACUGAAACUGACGUUGAGGCACGAAAGCGUGGGGAGCAAACAGGAUUAGAUACCCGGGUAGUC